CGGUACGGGUGAGUAACACGUGGAUAACCUACCUAUAAGACUGGGAUAACUUCGGGAAACCGGAGCUAAUACCGGAUAAUAUUUUGAACCGCAUGGUUCAAAAGUGAAAGACGGUCUUGCUGUCACUUAUAGAUGGAUCCGCGCUGCAUUAGCUAGUUGGUAAGGUAACGGCUUACCAAGGCAACGAUGCAUAGCCGACCUGAGAGGGUGAUCGGCCACACUGGAACUGAGACACGGUCCAG
Molecule: ribosomal RNA, 242 nt
Filed under: uncultured Staphylococcus sp.
Lineage: Bacteria; Bacillati; Bacillota; Bacilli; Caryophanales; Staphylococcaceae
Description: partial 16S ribosomal RNA
Rfam family: Bacterial small subunit ribosomal RNA
Source: RNAcentral